UUCUCACGCCAGGAAUCGAACCUGAGCCUUCUGGGUGAAAGUCAGAUAUCAAAGCCACCAGACCACGUGGGA
This is a non-coding RNA of Cordylochernes scorpioides, 72 nucleotides long. Lineage: Eukaryota; Metazoa; Arthropoda; Arachnida; Pseudoscorpiones; Chernetidae. The record is from the annotation of a GenBank genome assembly.